Molecule: ribosomal RNA, 406 nt
Filed under: uncultured bacterium
Lineage: Bacteria
Description: partial 16S ribosomal RNA
Rfam family: Bacterial small subunit ribosomal RNA
Source: RNAcentral
AAUGAACGCUGGCGGCAGGCCUAACACAUGCAAGUCGAACGAGUGGCGGACGGGUGAGUAAUGUCUGGGAAACUGCCUGAUGGAGGGGGAUAACUACUGGAACCGGUAGCUAAUACCGCAUACCAUCAGAUGUGCCCAGAUGGGAUUGGCUUGUUGGUGGGGUAAAGGCUCACCAGGGCGACGUUCCCUAGCUGGUCUGAGAGGAUGACCGGCCCCACUGUAACUGAGCCACGGUCCAGACUCCUAGGGUAGGCAGCAGUGGGAAAUAUUGCACAAGGGUCGCAAGCCUGAUGCAGCCAUGCGGCGUGGAUGAAGAAGGCCUUCGGGUUGUAAAGUACUUUCAUCGGGGAGGCGUUACCCGCAGAAGAAGCACCGGCUAACUCCGUGCCAGCAGCCGCGGUAAUUC